UGAACAACUUUUCUCCUUAGAGAACAAUGGAACAAAUGUGGAGGCACGCCUGGUGAACCAGCAUUUGUUCAAGGCCUUAGAAGGUUCCAGUUUCCACAUCCUGGAUAUCACCCACAUGAGUGAGUUCAGAGCAGAUGCCCAUCCAUCAACUACAGGUGGCAAGAAACAUGAUGAUUGCAUGCAUUGGUGCUUGCCAGGAAUUACAGAUUCUUGGAAUGACUUGCUUGUGGCACAUUUGAACAGCAUUCAUGGUGGAAGUAGAUAUCAAGAAUAAUCCUCAUCUGGAAAUGUCUGCUUGGUGAAAGAUUUGCAAGAUAAAUCAGACUGUAUUAGACAUGACCCACUCAAUGUCUUGAAGAGUUGAGUUUCUUAGUGGUGUGGAGUGACCACUCUGACCCACAAAGCAACAAGGGAGAUGUGGAAAUUGGAAGUCUGGAAGUUGUUUUGCAUCAUGAUCAAACACCUACAGAGAUUAUCCAACAUUAACUGGAAAGAGCAGAAGACAACUGCCGGUAUGUUCCACUUGCUCAAAGAGGAAUACGGAUAAUAUAGCAUCUAUGAUGUAAUGCAGAGGUGGGAGUAUUGAGAAUACAAUGGAUGAGAAGGUUGGACAAUGUUUGCGCUGAUACACUAGCCAAACAAGAGGCCAAUAGGGGUUGUUUGUACUGGGAUCAAUUGUAAUUGUUUUGUUAUAGACUUUUGCGAGAGGCUGCAUCUCACGCCUCUUCUUGGGAUGCUUAUAAUGCCUCUUAAGUUAAUGAAAUCUUCUUUUACUUAUCAAAAGAAAAAUGCAAAGGCGGGAUUAUUCCUGCUGCUGCUUGUACUACAA
This is a non-coding RNA of Nelumbo nucifera (sacred lotus), 829 nucleotides long. The record is from RefSeq and is a predicted model, not a curated record. Lineage: Eukaryota; Viridiplantae; Streptophyta; Magnoliopsida; Proteales; Nelumbonaceae.